RNAcentral lists this ribosomal RNA (253 nucleotides) under uncultured bacterium. Its description in RNAcentral is "partial 16S ribosomal RNA". It matches the Rfam family "Bacterial small subunit ribosomal RNA", at positions 524 to 776 of the family's 1533-position model. The record is from RNAcentral.
UACGAAGGGGGCUAGCGUUGUUCGGAUUUACUGGGCGUAAAGCGCACGUAGGCGGAUCGUUAAGUCGGGGGUGAAAUCCUGGAGCUCAACUCCAGAACUGCCUUUGAUACUGAGAAGCUUGAGUCCGGGAGAGGUGAGUGGAACUGCGAGUGUAGAGGUGAAAUUCGUAGAUAUUCGCAAGAACACCAGUGGCGAAGGCGGCAUCCUGGACCGGCAUUGACGCUGAGGAGCGAAAGCCAGGGGAGCAAACGGG